AUGCUCACUUCAGCAGUACAUAUACUAAAGUUGGAACAAUACAUAAAAGAUUAUGUGGCCCCUGCACAUGGGUGACACGCAAAUGUGUGAUGCAUUAAAAAAAAUA
This is a small nuclear RNA of Hyaena hyaena (striped hyena), 106 nucleotides long. The record is from RefSeq and is a predicted model, not a curated record. NCBI's taxonomy places the organism in Eukaryota, Metazoa, Chordata, Mammalia, Carnivora, Hyaenidae.